This 708-nucleotide ribosomal RNA is filed under the name uncultured bacterium. RNAcentral describes it as "bacterial SSU rRNA". It matches the Rfam family "Bacterial small subunit ribosomal RNA", at positions 133 to 854 of the family's 1533-position model. The record is from RNAcentral.
CGUCAGGGGGAUCCUCUCGAAAGAGAGAUUAAGACCGCAUAACAUUAUUGAAUAGCAUUAUUUAAUAAUCAUAUUUAUAGGACGAAAGAUGGGCAUGCGGAACAUUAGCUAGUUGGUAAGGUAACGGGUACCAAGGCUACGAUGUUUAGGGGGAUCUGAGAGGGAUGACCCCCCACACUGGUACUGACACGGACCCAGACUCCUACGGGAGGCAGCAGUAAGGAAUAUUGGUCGAAUGGGCGGACUCUGAACCAGCCCAUGCCGCGUGCAGGAAGACGGCCCUACGGGUUGUAAACUGCUUUUACCGGAAUAAACCUCUUUACGUGUAAAAGAGCUGAAAUGUACGGUAAGAAUAAGGAUGCUAACUCCGUGCCCAGCAGCCGCGGUAAUACGGAGGAUCCCAAGCGUUAUCCGGAUUUUGGGUUUAAAGGGUGCGUAGGUGGCCUGUUAAGUCAGGGGUGAAAGACGGUAGCUCAUAUCGCAGUGCCUUUGAUACUGACGGGCUUGAAUGAACUAGAGGUAGGCGGAAUGUGAAGUAGCGGUGAAAUGCAUAGAUAUGUCACAGAACACCAAUUGCGAAGGCAGCUUACUAGUUUUAUUGACACUGAGGCACGAAAGCGUGGGGAUCAAACAGGAUUAGAUACCCUGGUUCCACGCCCUAAACGAUGAAUACUCGAUGUUGGCGAUAUACGGUCAGCGUCUAAGCGA